UGGGGAAUAUUGCACAAUGGGGGAAACCCUGAUGCAGCGAUGCCGCGUGGAGGAAGAAGGUUUUCGGAUUGUAAACUCCUGUCUUAAAGGAAGAAGCCAGUGACGGUACUUUAGGAGGAAGCUCCGGCUAACUACGUGCCAGCAGCCGCGGUAAUACGUAGGGAGCGAGCGUUGUCCGGAAUUACUGGGUGUAAAGGGAGCGCAGGCGGGAAGGCAAGUUGGAAGUGAAAUCCAUGGGCUCAACCCAUGAACUGCUUUCAAAACUGUUUUUCUUGAGUAGUGCAGAGGUAGGCGGAAUUCCCGGUGUAGCGGUGGAAUGCGUAGAUAUCGGGAGGAACACCAGUGGCGAAGGCGGCCUACUGGGCACCAACUGACGCUGAGGCUCGAAAGUGUGGGUAGCAAACAGGAUUAGAUACCCUGGUAGU
This 425-nucleotide ribosomal RNA is filed under the name uncultured Faecalibacterium sp. RNAcentral describes it as "bacterial SSU rRNA". It matches the Rfam family "Bacterial small subunit ribosomal RNA", at positions 355 to 794 of the family's 1533-position model. Lineage: Bacteria; Bacillati; Bacillota; Clostridia; Eubacteriales; Oscillospiraceae. The record is from RNAcentral.